This 253-nucleotide ribosomal RNA is filed under the name uncultured bacterium. Its description in RNAcentral is "partial 16S ribosomal RNA". It matches the Rfam family "Bacterial small subunit ribosomal RNA", at positions 524 to 776 of the family's 1533-position model. The record is from RNAcentral.
UACGUAGGGGGCAAGCGUUGUCCGGAAUCAUUGGGCGUAAAGCGCGUGUAGGCGGCUUGGUAAGUCCGCUCUGAAAGCCCGGGGCUCAACCCCGGGAGGCGGGUGGAUACUGUCAAGCUCGAGUCCGGAAGAGGCGAGUGGAAUUCCUGGUGUAGCGGUGAAAUGCGCAGAUAUCAGGAGGAACACCAAUGGCGAAGGCAGCUCGCUGGGACGUGACUGACGCUGAGACGCGAAAGCGUGGGGAGCAAGCAGG